Molecule: ribosomal RNA, 429 nt
Filed under: uncultured Lactobacillus sp.
Lineage: Bacteria; Bacillati; Bacillota; Bacilli; Lactobacillales; Lactobacillaceae
Description: bacterial SSU rRNA
Rfam family: Bacterial small subunit ribosomal RNA
Source: RNAcentral
UAGGGAAUCUUCCACAAUGGACGCAAGUCUGAUGGAGCAACGCCGCGUGAGUGAAGAAGGGUUUCGGCUCGUAAAGCUCUGUUGUUGGUGAAGAAGGACAGGGGUAGUAACUGACCUUUGUUUGACGGUAAUCAAUUAGAAAGUCACGGCUAACUACGUGCCAGCAGCCGCGGUAAUACGUAGGUGGCAAGCGUUGUCCGGAUUUAUUGGGCGUAAAGCGAGUGCAGGCGGUUCGAUAAGUCUGAUGUGAAAGCCCUCGGCUUAACCGAGGAACUGCAUCGGAAACUGUUUUUCUUGAGUGCAGAAGAGGAGAGUGGAACUCCAUGUGUAGCGGUGAAAUGCGUAGAUAUAUGGAAGAACACCGGUGGCGAAGGCGGCUCUCUGGUCUGUUACUGACGCUGAGGCUCGAAAGCAUGGGUAGCGAACAGG